Molecule: ribosomal RNA, 376 nt
Filed under: Tityus uruguayensis
Lineage: Eukaryota; Metazoa; Arthropoda; Arachnida; Scorpiones; Buthidae
Description: eukaryotic LSU rRNA
Rfam family: Eukaryotic large subunit ribosomal RNA
Source: RNAcentral
GCGCGAGUCAUUGGGUCUUGUUUAGGCUCAGAGGCGCAAUGAAAGUGAAGGAUGCCCUAGUUGGUGUCUGCGUUGGGAUCCUGGGGCCUCGAGCUCCGGGCGCACCAACGGCCCGUCCCGUCUGCGACGUCAGUGGGACGGAGCGAGAGCGUACACGUUGGGACCCGAAAGAUGGUGAACUAUGCCUGGGCAGGACGAGGCCAGAGGAAACUCUGGUGGAGGUCCGCAGCGAUUCUGACGUGCAAAUCGAUCGUCAGACCUUGGUAUAGGGGCGAAAGACUAAUCGAACCGUCUAGUAGCUGGUUCCCUCCGAAGUUUCCCUCAGGAUAGCUGGUGCUCGAGUGGAAUCAGUCUCAUCCGGUAAAGCGAAUGAUUA